AGAAAUGGUUGGAAUUUAUUCAAUAUAAAAUGCCCUUAUUACUCAUGAUACACAAUGCAUGCUCAUAUCAACUGCCAAUAAAGCAGCUUAUAUGUUCUUUAUUUGAUAUGUUUGCAGCAAUCAGGCCAAGUACGUUCUGCAGAAGACCCAAGUUGUAAAUUGUUCAUAGGUAGACUAGCUGCUCAGUAAUCUGACACUUCAAAUAAAUGAUAUUUCAUGGUAUAAAUCAUCCAUGGAAAGAAUAGUAUCAGUAGCUGAGUCAUCCUGUCUCCACAGGCAUGUUUCAUCUCCCUCUCUCUGUAUCUUUAGCCAAUACCCUGGCUCCUCAAAUAACCUCAAUAUCUGCUCAAAUACAGACCACCAAAUUCCUUGUAAAUUACAACAAUUAACUUAAAACAACAAAUAAUGAUCUGAAUUUCAGUAUAUUUUAUGUAAUCUAAUUUGAAAGAAUAUGACUAUCAGUGAGUAAUUUUAAAAGAACCAACUUCUCAUUUUAAAACGAGGGGAGAAUUAUAUUCACCAUGGACAUUUUUGGCCUCCUAGAAGAUGAAUGCUUAAGGCAGAGGCGGGCUGCAAGCAUCAUUAUUUCCAUCUCUUCUUCCACGUAGUUGUCCUUCAGGCAAGGAUCAAUCAGAUGUUCCGGUAGGCCGGAACUUAGUAAAGAUCUUGCCUGCAAAUCAUAGAAGCAAAAUGCCAAAAAACUUUUAGAUGAAGGCAGUUCUUUGUGAGAAAAAAUAAAUAAAUAAAAAUUAUUGUAUUACCCAUAGCACUAAGCUUUCUUGUUUUGCCUGGUUCUUUUGGAUAGCCUCUUUCCCAGUGAUUAGUUCCAGAAGUACAACUCCAUAGGAGUAGACAUCUAUUUUCUCAUCUACCUUUCCAUACAUCAUGUACUCUGGGGCCAAGUAACCAAACGUGCCCACAACAUUAAAUGGCUUUAUGUUAGCUGAAGAUACUUGAUCUGAUUGAUUGUAUACCAUUGCUUCUCCAAAAUCCGAGAGUUGUGGCUGGCAAUUCUCAGAGAGGAGAAUGUUAGAUGAUUUCACAUCUCUGUGAAUUAUUGGAGGAUUGAAAGAACAAUGAAGGUACUCCAAUGCCUUUGCCACACCAAUGGCAACUCCCAUCCUCUCCCUCCACUUGAGUUGUUUAAAAUUUUGGUUCAAGCUUCCCUUCAGCAGAUUACACACAAUUGCAUGAAUAUCCUCGCCUUCACAGUACCCAAUUAUCUUAAUGAUGUUUUCGUGUUUCAUGCUAGAUAAGAUCUCCACUUCUCGGUGAAGAUCCUCUGCAGAAAUGUGUGUUGUUUUAAGGACCUUCACAGCUGCAUCCCGACCGUCCUCGAGCUUGGCACGAUAUACUUUACUGUUCCCUCCUUCUCCAAUCACCAUGUUAGGGCUGAAAUUUUCAGUUGCUGAAAUGAGCUCUUCCAUGUUGAAAAUCCUGAUGGACCGCUGGGAUUCUAGGAUCACUAAUCUGUGAAAUAACUUCUUCGCAAAGAAGUUUGGAACCUCCACUUUUUUCCUGGCACCUUGCCAUCCUGGACUAUCGCUUUGUUGAAUUGAUUUUGGUAUCAAGGAAGGUGGUGCAGCAAAUGAUUUUUGUAACUGAUGGGCAGGAGGAAAGUAAAAUUCUUCUGAUGAAGAUGAUGGAAAGGAUUGAAGAACUGCACAAGAAGAGCCUUGUUGUGAGGUUCCUUGCCUCUGGAGUAUGAUUCUGCCCACAUUGUCGAUGAUCAGGAGGCUACAAGCUGGGGGCAAGCAUUUUAGGCAAGUACUGAUUACUGAAUCUUUGGGCCUUGAAAGGCUGCAUCCAAGUGCAAGUAUGGUUGCAAAAUUGACGCGAACUUGAUGGGUUAAUUCAGAAAUGAAAGAGUCCCCGGUGCAGAUUUUUAUCAGGAAAUCCACCUGCUUGGACUUGCAGAGAUCUUCAUGGGUAUGAAAAGUGUUGGGAUCAAAAGUAUCAAAAGGAUCUUGAACAUGAAUGGCGAUCACAUAAUCCCCUGGCUUGACUACUACAUUGAGUAAUCGCAGCAGCAUUUCUCUGCUAUAGUUACCUGAUUUUAGACCAACUAUAAUUGUCCUAUUCUUUGUUGUCCUUCUCCUCAGAAGUGAAGAAAAUUUCCACUCUGAGCUUAGUCUCCCAACCAUCAUAAAUGAUACUGCUUCUGAUAUUCAGUCACCAAUUCCCAUUGCAGAAUCAAGAAGCAGUGCCCUCAUUUUUUUACCAAUUCCAGCAUUUUAUUUCUUGGACCUGAUUUUGCCAUGUCCACCAAUUUAUUUAUUGCUAUAGUAGUUAUGAAUAGGACCAGUUUGAUUUAAUGUAAUAUUUUUUUUUCUUAAUAAAUGACUCUGAUUGAG
This 2354-nucleotide unclassified non-coding RNA is filed under the name Hevea brasiliensis (rubber tree). The record is from RNAcentral. Lineage: Eukaryota; Viridiplantae; Streptophyta; Magnoliopsida; Malpighiales; Euphorbiaceae.